This 449-nucleotide ribosomal RNA is filed under the name uncultured bacterium. Its description in RNAcentral is "partial 16S ribosomal RNA". It matches the Rfam family "Bacterial small subunit ribosomal RNA", at positions 354 to 796 of the family's 1533-position model. The record is from RNAcentral.
GUCGAGAAUCUUUCACAAUGGGGGCAACCCUGAUGGAGCGACGCCGCGUGGAGGAUAAGGUCUUCGGAUUGUAAACUCCUGUCAUGCGUGAACAAGGUUGCUUGGAUAAUACCUGAGCAAAUUGAUGGUAGCGCAAGAGGAAGAGACGGCUAACUCUGUGCCAGCAGCCGCGGUAAUACAGAGGUCUCAAGCGUUGUUCGGAAUCACUGGGCGUAAAGGGUGCGUAGGUGGCGUGGCAAGUCAGAUGUGAAAGCCCGGGGCUCAACCUCGGAACUGCAUCCGAUACUGCCAUGCUAGAGUACUGGAGGGGUGACUAGAAUUCUCGGUGUAGCAGUGAAAUGUGUAGAUAUCGAGAGGAAUACCAAAGGCGUAGGCAGGUCACUGGACAGUUACUGACACUGAGGCACGAAGGCCAGGGGAGCGAACGGGAUUAGAAACCCGAGUAGUCC